This is a long non-coding RNA of Mytilus californianus (California mussel), 805 nucleotides long. RefSeq lists it as uncharacterized. NCBI's taxonomy places the organism in Eukaryota, Metazoa, Mollusca, Bivalvia, Mytilida, Mytilidae. The record is from RefSeq and is a predicted model, not a curated record. The transcript has 3 exons.
AUCUGCUCCAGUGGGACCUGAAUAAUUAACUUGAAACAAAGGAUAUUACCACGACGAUUGUAAUACACCAUUCAGCUUGAAACAAAGGAUUCUACCAUGUCGAUUGUAAUACACCAUUCAGCUUGAAACAAAGGAUAUUACCACGUCGAUAGUAAUACACCAUUCAGCUUGAAACAAAGGAUAUUACCACGUCGAUUGUAAUACACCAUUCAGCUUGAAACAAAGGAUUCUACCACGUCGAUUGUAAUACACCAUUCAGCUUGAAACAAAGGAUAUUACCACGUCGAUUGUAAUACACCAUUCAGCUUGAAACAAAGGAUUCUACCACGUCGAUUGUAAUACACCAUUCAGCUUGAAACAAAGAAUACUACCACGUCGAUUGUAUUAUACCAUUCAACUUUAGACAAUUAACGGAUACUACCAACUCGAUUGUAUUAUACCAUUCAACUUGAAACAAAGGAUUCUACCACGUCGAUUGUAAUACACCAUUCAGCUUGAAACAAAGAAUACUACCACGUCGAUUGUAUUAUACCAUUCAACUUUAAACAAUUAACGGAUACUACCAACUCGAUUGUAUUAUACCAUUCAACUUGAAACAAAGGAUACUAUCACCAAAUGGGAGCUACACCGGAUAUUGGUUCUAGCUGAAGCGGAGACAGCGUGUAAAAUGCAAGCUGCCGUGCAUUGUCGAAACUUUGUCUUUGUGAUUUACAACAUAUUUAAAGACAAGCUAGAACAAUUCGGGUCUUGUGUGUUUAUGGUUGGUCAUAAUUGAAUAAAAGGAAGAAAUUUGAUUUGAAGUAAU